CCUACGGGGUGCAGCAGUGGGGAAUUUUGGACAAUGGGGGAAACCCUGAUCCAGCCAUCCCGCGUGUGCGAUGAAGGCCUUCGGGUUGUAAAGCACUUUUGGCAGGAAAGAAACGUCAUGGGUUAAUACCCCGUGAAACUGACGGUACCUGCAGAAUAAGCACCGGCUAACUACGUGCCAGCAGCCGCGGUAAUACGUAGGGUGCAAGCGUUAAUCGGAAUUACUGGGCGUAAAGCGUGCGCAGGCGGUUCGGAAAGAAAGAUGUGAAAUCCCAGAGCUUAACUUUGGAACUGCAUUUUUAACUACCGGGCUAGAGUGUGUCAGAGGGAGGUGGAAUUCCGCGUGUAGCAGUGAAAUGCGUAGAUAUGCGGAGGAACACCGAUGGCGAAGGCAGCCUCCUGGGAUAACACUGACGCUCAUGCACGAAAGCGUGGGGAGCAAACAGGAUUAGAUACCCGCGUAGUC
This 465-nucleotide ribosomal RNA is filed under the name uncultured bacterium. RNAcentral describes it as "bacterial SSU rRNA". It matches the Rfam family "Bacterial small subunit ribosomal RNA", at positions 338 to 795 of the family's 1533-position model. The record is from RNAcentral.